GCUCACAGUGCUGAUCUAGGCCCUAGCCCUGUGGAGUGAGUCUUUCUUCACAUAUACUGAAAAUAAGGAAUGUUUAUCCCACCAAAGAGGCUGAAUAGAACCCCUAUGGAGAAAAACAGAGGGCAGACAUGUGACUUAUUACAGGUCAAACCUUCAUCUGAGACCCUGUAAUAAAGCCUAAACAUGCUCACCACACAGUGGGCACUGGAAAGAAUGAGGUUGCUGACUUCACAGGGUGGGAAGAUUCCAUUUUCAACCUGCAGUCUACAAUGGGGUGGUUGGGAAGACCUCAAGGAGAGGAUGAUAUUGACCUAUUUGCUGGGCUCCCCAAGGGAAGAGCAUUCCAGGUAAACGAACAGCAAUGUACAAAACCUUGAUGUGGAAGCAAACCAGCCACGUUUGAGGAAGAACACAGGAGGCCAGUGGGACUAAAGUGGAAUCUGAGAGAUCACAGUGUGGGGUUUCAUUAGAGUUGUCUAGGCCAUUGUGAGGAAUCUGGAUUCUAUUCUUUGUGAGGUAGAAAGUCGCUGGAGAAGUUAAAGGAGACCAGAACAUGAUCUGACUUAAGGUUUUAUAAAAUUAAUCUACCUGAUAUGUUAAGAAUACAUGACUAUAAAAAAGUGACAGAAUGAGUUAACAAGUUGUUGAAGUAAUCCACGUGGAAAAUGAUGGUGUCAAUCAUCAAAUGGCCAAAUAAAAAGAGGUUCAAGGAUGGGGGGUUCAUCAGCAACCUCACAUCUUGGUAAAGAUUUAGGUAGAAGAAGGACUAAUUGAUCCUUUAAUUUAGCAUCAUGGACAACUUUUGGUGACAUUUAUAAGAGCAAUUUCAAUGGUGGCGUUAGAGGCCCAGUGUGUUCAAGGAAAAAUGUUAUCAAGGAGCCACAGACAAAGAACAAAGACUACUCUUUUUAGGAUCUUUUCUGAAAUGGGGAACAGAGAAAUGGGGGAGUUGUUUAAAGAGUAUGCAUGACUUAGAGUAACAGUGUUUUUAAAUUAAGGGAAAUUCCAGAACAUUUUUAUUAUUCUAGAAUGAUUUAAGAGAGUAGGAAAAUUAUGUGGAAGACAAUGCUCAUAAUUAUUAGAGCAGACAAUGCUCAUAAUUAUUACAGCAGACAAUGCUCAUAAUUAUUAGAGCUACACCCUGAGCAAGUAAGCAAAGCAGUGAGAAAAGUGAGCCUCAGAUGAGUGGUUGCCCUUCAGCAGGAACAUGGACAGCUCAUCCACAGUAAUGGGAGGGGGCAGGGGGAUGAUUGUCCUGUUGGGAAAUGUGGAACUUCUUCCUGACCCAUCCUGGUUUACUCAUUAAAUGUGCCUCAAGGUCAUCGGAUGAAAGAGAAGAUUGGAAGAAGCUACUGAAGGGAUAAUUCCUCAACUACAGUGGACAGAGCUGGAAUCUGAGCCAAGCGGAGCAGUCAUGCUGAGUUCAGGAAGCCUCACUGCUAAAUGCCACCUAUCAAAGUGGCCUCCCCUGACCAUCCUGUGUAAAAUAAUCCCUCCUUCCUCUCUAGACUUUCUAGCGUCUUUACCCUACUUUUUUUUUUUUUUUUUUUUUUUUUAACAAAUUAAAUCUUGGGCUGGGCGUGGUGGCUCACGCCUGUAAUCCCAGCACUUUGGGAGGCUGAAGCGGGCAGAUCACGAAGUCAGGAGAGUGAAACCAUCAUGGCUAACAAGGUGAAACCCCGUGUCUACUAAAAGUACAAAAAAAUUAGCUGGGUGUGGUGAUGGACACUCG
This 1732-nucleotide long non-coding RNA is filed under the name Homo sapiens (human). Its description in RNAcentral is "HSALNT0398867". Lineage: Eukaryota; Metazoa; Chordata; Mammalia; Primates; Hominidae. The record is from RNAcentral.